CUUUUCUCCACUGGACAAAAGAGCCCUUCAGUAACUUGUCUCUUCUCCCCAUGAAGGUGCUUGAGACAAUGGCAGUAGGUCUAAAAAUAGCUCCCUCUGAAUGACCAAACCAUCAAAACCAAUACCUGGACCAACAACCCAGCCCUUGGAACCACCCUCAGCAUUCAAGAAACAAAAGAUGAGGCAACCCACCAUUGUGCCAAGGCUGCACAUGCUCAGUAAGAACACCUGGAACCCUCUGGAACAGGACUGACAUUGCCUGAACAGGCCCUCCCCGUAGGAGAUCAGAGGCAGUCUGCCCCAUAAAAAGGGGUAGUGAAGACUGACUCCUUGGGAAUGCCAUUUCCAUCUGGACCAGACCAGUUCCACGUCACACCACCUAUUCACCCCAGAGGCCCUACUUGCAACCCCCUCUGGACAACACUGAGCUGAAAGAGACCCCGACUGGCCAUCGAGGACCCACUUUCAGCCUGGUAUAGUUCUAGGCUGGCAUCUAGCGACCAGGUUUGAAUUCUAACUAAAUGGACAGGCCUCAGACCAUAUCAUGGUCAUCAGCAGAAAGGGCCUGUGUAUAUCUGGAAGGCUGUGCAGAGCAACACCCAUUGUAGAGGUCAAGGUGAUCGUGUAUUGUGUCCUAACAUUCAAUGAAGGAAAGCACACCAAUUCAAAUGCUUCCAUUCUAAGUGUGAUCUAUGUCCUUCAACUAACAUGUUACAGCAGUGACAACCAGCAGAGGAAUACCAGAUUUAUUCUAAAAAGCAAGGUGUUAUGGGCCUCUCUACUACCUGUAUUGUUGCUGAUGGAUUCAAGCUUUUAUCCCAAGGUUGUCCCCUGAAAACUACCAUGGCAUCUAUUUGGUUUAUCCGAGACAAGUUCAACUCUAAAAAGGAACAGAUGCUCCAAGACACUGUACUCUGAGCACCACUUCUAAAGUUUGUUGCAUUUCAAAUGUCUGCAUAUCAUUAUAGACCAUGUUUCUAUAAAUAAGACAUGUUUAAUAAGCUCUUACUAAUAGUUUUUAUACUGUUACACAACAAUAUAUAGGUGCUUAAUUCUAGUGUUACCCCUCAAACUGAAAGUCAUACCAGUAUGCUGAACCCAACAGCCCUGCACUUAAGCUGAAGAUUUAUUCUCUGUACAUGACAUUAGCCAUACUCAGCAAAUACUUUUUUGAUCCAUUCUGUUUUGCACACACAAUAACCUUACCUUUAUGGGACAAGUUCUCCUGACCUAGUUUGAAAUUAAAAAGAAAUUCCUCAUUAAGCAUGAGCAGUUUCUCCCCUCAGGGUAUCUGUGCAUGCUUGGGUUACCUUCAAGUAUUUUGCUUUGACUCAUUAUAAUGUUACUCAGCUGGGAUUACCACAACUGUAAAAGGCAGUUUUCAAAGGCAGUGUUCCACAACCAUUGAAUGUUUUCAGAGGGUUUCAUUAUUUCACAAAAGAUGCAGUUAAUUGCUUAAUCCUACUGAUGACAGCAUGAGCUUUACUCUGGUUUUUAAGACACUGAUUCAACAUCCUGAAUUCAAGAUGACAACAGAAUACCUCAAGUACUUGGACAGGUAACUAAUGCAGAACUUCAUUUUACAACCAACCAAGGAUAUUGUCCCUAUUUGUACCCAUUUGGCUGCUCUGGUCUCUAAAGUUAUUGGAGAAUGAAAAACAAACUCAAGGUAGGUAAAACUCUGUAGUUUUCCAUCUCUUAGUAUCCAAGUAAAUAGAGCAUUACAGUGCCAAUCGCUGUCAAAUGUCUGUCAGCUAUGCCUUUUUCUAAGUUAAUGUGGAAGCUAUUCUGUCUCAUGCACCUGGUAGCAGGGGCAAAUAUCACUGAAAUUACAAUAUGGAGACUGAAGUAACUAGCAAUUCUGUCAUUAUUUCCGACUUAAGAAUUCUCAAGUUGGAUCACUCAAAAAAAAAAAAAUCCCAAUGUAACAAUUCCUGUUCUUGUUCUCACUCUUCAACAUAAAUCAGAAAUGGCUAAUCAUCAUCCUUAUUUCUAAAACACUAGUAGGAUAGACAAAGCAAUUUGAGAAUAAGGUCAUCCAUACCAUAUGGGAACAGUCAGAGUAAAGUAAGAAGAAUAAAGAGAUUUAUGAUGACACUGCAAGUAGAGCUGGGACCAAACUUCCUAUUUCAGCAAAAACCAAUCACCAAGACCACACUUUUUGGAAAGGGCACAGGAUGCACAGAAAAAUAAAUGACCAAGUAGAUACAUGAUACCAAAAUGUAGCUACUUCUGUUUUCUGUGCACUUACAGCUUGCAUGCAAGGCUCCAUACAUGAAAAUCCAUCCUACAUGGACAGAAUUCACAGGGUAUCCAUCUCUUUUAGUAUCCAAUUAAUUGCAACCCAGGAAGUGACAAGAGCAUAGCUGAAAGUUAUGACUAACGUGCAAGCUACUGUCUCGCAUGCUUCUGUUAUCAGGAUAAAAGCAUUUUGUUCCUGAAAGGUCUUCUCUCUCCCUCAGUUAAUCUUUCAGUUGUCUUUCUAGCUUUCACCUCAGUGCCCCAGUUCACCCAAUCAUUUAAGCACAUGUUAACAGCUGUCUUGUGCAUCACAGCCUGUUUCUAUUUUGCUUUUAGAGAACCAUGGGAAAAAAAUAGGGCUGGAAGGGACCUCAAGAGCUUAUCUGUCCAUCUUCAUCCCAAGGCAAAAGCAUAUCAUUUCCUGUCAUACCAUCUGUAAGCCUAUUUCUUCCUUUUAUCACUCUCAUCCCACAUAUACAUUUGAUUCUUUCCUCUAUCCCACAGUAAGUUCAGGAAGUAGCUGGAAACUCAUUCUAACCUGUCACCAUUCAUAUAGCCAUCAGUUAUGAGAGUGAGGACAAUAAACUGACAUCCACUUUGUUUGGAAGCCAGAUCAAUUCAAACAGUCUAGGUUAGUGAUGCUCAAACUCUGGCCUACAAGCCAAAAUACAACCCAUGCAGCUAUGUCAUGCAGUCUAUGUGGCUGCCCAGGGGGAACCAGAAAUUUGGCAACAGAGGAGCAGUAGCAGCACUAAUUGCCAUCAAAUUUCUGGCACCAUAGGAAGCUGUACAGGCCAGACAGCAUGGCAACAUGAACCAGAUUGCACAAACAAGCAGGGUUCAGACAGCCAAAUCUGGCAUGGGUGACCUGGCCAGUGCAUGUUGUCACAUUAUGGCCAGAUCCAGUGCACAGGGCCGGGAGAGUGCACCAGAUCAUACCUACAAGUCAACUCCACGCACUGAGCCUAUGCUGGGUCCAGCCACAGCCCGACCCCACUCAUGGGAUCUGGCUAUCAGGGGACCUAAUAGGCAACCCAGAUGGGACUACCUGCAUAGUGGGCCACACCUGCCUGGGGCUUUUUACAGGCAGCCCUCACCCAGCUAUUGACUCCAGCUGGGUCUGCUGAUGGGCUGCUGGGAGAGCAGCUUCUCCGUUUAGCUACAGCUGUAGCAACAGACUCUAGGCCCGCCAACAGUUUCUGCUGACAGUCUUCCCUGGCAAGCCUCUAUGAUCUUGUACCAGUUUCCUAGUUCCUGACCAGCUUGGCUCUGUUCCUGGUUUCCAGCUUUUGGAUUUUCCCUCAGAUCUAGUAAUUCAGUCUCUGAUUGCUGAAUGCCAACUCAGCUUGGGACUCUGACCCACCCUGGGAUUUCCCCUUGAACCCAAUAACCUAAUCUCCAAUUCCUGCCCCCUGCUGUGGCCUGUGGUUUGGCUUGUCCUAAAAUUUUGGAACAUCUUCAACUAUGUUUUAAAGCAACCCAUUAGCCUUACAGAGGAGGUCCCAAGUAAUAUGGUUUUAUUGCCCACAUUUUUCUUUCUGAAUGCAAAAAACAAAAUGAAGCCAAAAAACUGCUGUUCAGCAAAACAACAGAUGCUGCUACCUCAUAAAGCUAUUGGCCAGAGCUGUUUAACUGGCAGCCUGCAGACCACAUGAGGCCUAUAAAAGGGAUUACCUUGAAGCCCCUAGGCUGCCACCCAGCUGCACCAGCAGCAGCUGGGUGCUCCAGCCUCUCCCAGGCUUUUGCUUUUUGACCUGUUCACAGGCAGAGUUGAGCAGCAUGGCAUAACUUGUGCCAGGAAAGCCCAUGGCUUGGGAUAUGAGCACAGCAUGGUGCAGCAGAGUCUAUGCUCAAGAAGCUGGAGGGGGAGGGAAGUGACCACAUGCCUGGUACUGCAGGAUACAUGUUUGAUGCAGUGGGGAGCAUCCCCAGGCUCAGUGUAAUAUAGGGUAAGGAGAACCUGCAUGCUCAGUGCAGCAGGGAGUAAUGUGUUCGGUUCUGUGAGCGGUAGGGAGUUGCACAGUCCUGCUGUAAACUAUAAAUUUUCCCUCAAAUCUGCAAUGCAGAUGCAGGACACCACAAAUUACAAGAUAAUUUAAUAAGAGCUACUACUAAAUGAGAUGAGACUGAUGCCACAUACAAUGGUUGCAGGAAAAUGUUAUCUGCCUGGUAAUUUAGGAUUCACCAAAGAUAUAUUUUUAGUAAGUGCAAUAAACUCCAAUGCAUAUUUAUGUAACUACCUGUGGUAUCUUAUACCACACAUCCUUUUAGACAGCUCCACUUCACAUUUACAAGAGCAGUACAAAGGAGACUGCAUCCAAAUCAGCCUGCUUUCUAUUUCUGUCCUUUUGGACACAUUUGGAUGCAGUAGUCCUUUCUCCACUGAAUCUCAAGCUGGCAAUAAGAGGGACCCCAAAUUGACAGCCUACAUUUGCUACACUCCAGUCGAAAGAGCCAACUUCAAAGAGAAACCAUAUUGCACAUUCUGAAAACCUCUCUGCACUACCCUGUAUUAAACAUCUCCCCACCACCAACUUCUGUGCUUAUUUAUUGUAGCAAAACCCCCAGUUUUUUGUUGUUUGUUUGGUUGUUUUUUUUUAAUGCAUUCCCUCCUCUUCUCCAACCAUUUCUGACUUUCUCUCCCUCUCUAUUCCCUAUAGAUAAGUAUAAGUGAGCUAAGACAUAGGAUAAGCUUCAGCAUUUUAAUUUUGGUAGCAAGUUGUAUUUGUUUUGUUUUUUCUCCUUCUUUAUAUUGUAUAAUUAUUAUGUUUAUAUUGAUUUUUACUGUUCUAUAUUACCGUUUUACUGAUACAAUAUGCUAACUUACAUAUGUAGGCCUAAAUCAUAAGUCAUGUCAAGUUUCCAUUUUGUUUGUCAAGUCUCCAUCUUGUCCCCUUGCCCUGUUGCGUAAGUAUGUUGUAGCCUAUGACUCAUACCUACCCCUCCUAUGUAACUUGGUUCCUGAAUGAAUGGGGAUGAAUGGAGGGUGCUUGAGAGACAAUGGCAGUAGGUUUAAAAAUAGCUCCCUCUGAAUGACCAAACCAUCAAAACCAAUACCUGGACCAAUGACCUAGCCCUUGGAACUACCUUCAGCAUUGAAGAAACAAAAGAUGAGGCAACCCACCAUUGUGCCAAGGCUGCACAUGCUCAGUAGGAACACCUGGAACAGGACUGACAUUGCCUGGACAGGCCCUCCCCAUAGGAGAUCAGUAGUAGUCUGCCCCAUAAAAACGAGUAGUGAAGACUGACUCCUUGGGAUAUCCUCUCCAUCUGGACCACCACCAUGCCACACCACCUAUCCCCCUGGAGGCCCUGCCAGUCAUCCCCUCUGGACAACACCUGCUGGACAAGGACCCCUUUCCAGCCUGGAUAGGUAGCUUUCACCCCCACCCUCUCUUUAACCAAGGAUUUGGACUCUGCUUCUCUUCCCUACCUGGACUCCAACCCUUCCACUGAGUCUCUUUCUCCUGCUGCCAUUGUGCAUGUGUGCACCAGUAAGUUCAUGGGGCUGUGUAGUGUGUUGUCUGUUUAAUAAACCUGUUAUUUUGAAACCCCGA
Long non-coding RNA from Alligator mississippiensis (American alligator), 5798 nucleotides. RefSeq lists it as uncharacterized. The transcript is spliced from 6 exons. The record is from RefSeq and is a predicted model, not a curated record. Lineage: Eukaryota; Metazoa; Chordata; Crocodylia; Alligatoridae.